GACGAACGCUGGCGGCGUGCUUAACACAUGCAAGUGGAGCGACGAACCAGGGCUUGCCCUGGGGCAGAGCCGCGAACGGGUGAGUAACACGUGGGUAACGUGCCCCGAUGACUGGGACAACCCGGGGAAACCCGGGCUAAUACCGGAUAUGCCCCCUGACAUCUGUCAGGUGUGUAAAGGAAGCUUCGGCCUCCGCAUCGGGAUCGGCCCGCGGCGCAUUAGCUUGUUGGUGGGGUAAUGGCCUACCAAGGCAGCGAUGCGUAGCUGGUCUGAGAGGACGAUCAGCCACACUGGGACUGAGACACGGCCCAGACUCCUACGGGAGGCAGCAGUGGGGAAUCUUGCACAAUGCGCGAAAGCGUGAUGCAGCAACGCCGCGUGCGGGAAGACGGCCUUCGGGUUGUAAACCGCUUUCAGUUGGGACGAAGGUCGACGCGUUAAUAGCGCGUUCGGCUGACGGUACCUUCACAAGAAGCCCCGGCUAACUACGUGCCAGCCGCCGCCGUAA
RNAcentral lists this ribosomal RNA (508 nucleotides) under uncultured bacterium. Its description in RNAcentral is "partial 16S ribosomal RNA". It matches the Rfam family "Bacterial small subunit ribosomal RNA", at positions 28 to 523 of the family's 1533-position model. The record is from RNAcentral.